This 857-nucleotide ribosomal RNA is filed under the name uncultured bacterium. Its description in RNAcentral is "bacterial SSU rRNA". It matches the Rfam family "Bacterial small subunit ribosomal RNA", at positions 49 to 916 of the family's 1533-position model. The record is from RNAcentral.
UAACACAUGCAAGUCGAGCGAGGCUCCCCUUUCGGGAGGAUGCCCUAGCGGCGAACGGGUGAGUAACACGUGGGCAACCUGCCCUUAGCUCUGGGAUAACCCCGGGAAACCGGGGCUAAUACCGGAUACGAGUUCGGAAGGCAUCUUCUGAACUGGAAAAGGUUUACUGGCUAAGGAUGGGCCCGCGGCCUAUCAGCUUGUUGGUGGGGUAAUGGCCUACCAAGGCAACGACGGGUAGCCGGCCUGAGAGGGCGACCGGCCACACUGGGACUGGGACACGGCCCAGACUCCUACGGGAGGCAGCAGUGGGGAAUAUUGCACAAUGGGCGAAAGCCUGAUGCAGCGACGCCGCGUGAGGGAUGACGGCCUUCGGGUUGUAAACCUCUUUCAGCAGGGACGAAGCGAAAGUGACGGUACCUGCAGAAGAAGCACCGGCCAACUACGUGCCAGCAGCCGCGGUAAUACGUAGGGUGCAAGCGUUGUCCGGAAUUAUUGGGCGUAAAGAGCUCGUAGGCGGCUCGUCACGUCGGCUGUGAAAACCUGGGGCUCAACCCCGGGCCUGCAGCCGAUACGGGCGAGCUAGAAUUCGGUAGGGGAGACUGGAAUUCCUGGUGUAGCGGUGAAAUGCGCAGAUAUCAGGAGGAACACCGGUGGCGAAGGCGGGUCUCUGGGCCGAUAUUGACGCUGAGGAGCGAAAGCGUGGGGAGCAAACAGGAUUAGAUACCCUGGUAGUCCACGCCGUAAACGGUGGGAACUAGGUGUGGGCCACAUUCCACGUGGUCUGUGCCGCAGCUAACGCAUUAAGUUCCCCGCCUGGGGAGUACGGCCGCAAGGCUAAAACUCAAACGAAUUGACGG